Molecule: ribosomal RNA, 420 nt
Filed under: uncultured bacterium
Lineage: Bacteria
Description: bacterial SSU rRNA
Rfam family: Bacterial small subunit ribosomal RNA
Source: RNAcentral
GAGUUUGAUCGUGGCUCAGGAUGAACGCUAGCUACAGGCUUAACACAUGCAAGUCGAGGGGAAACGACAUCGAAAGCUUGCUUUUGAUGGGCGUCGACCGGCGCACGGGUGAGUAACGCGUAUCCAACCUGCCCACCACUUGGGGAUAACCUUGCGAAAGUAAGACUAAUACCCGAUGAUAUCUCUAGACGACAUCUGAAAGGGAUUAAAGAUUUAUCGGUGAUGGAUGGGGAUGCGUCUGAUUAGCUUGUUGGCGGGUAACGGCCCACCAAGGCAACGAUCAGUAGGGGUUCUGAGAGGAAGGUCCCCCCACAUUGGAACUGAGACACGGUCCAAACUCCUACGGGAGCAGCAGUGAGGAAUAUUGGUCAAUGGGCGAGAGCCUGAACCAGCCAAGUAGCGUGCAGGACGACGGCCCUA